GACGAACGCUGGCGGCGUGCUUAACACAUGCCAGUCGUACGGUAAGGCCCUUUCGGGGGUACACGAGUGGCGCACGGGUGAGUAACACGUGAGUAACCUGCCCACAACUUUGGGAUAACGCUAGGAAACUGGUGCUAAUACUGGAUAUGUGCUCCUGCUGCAUGGUGGGGGUUGGAAAGCUCCGGCGGUUGUGGAUGGACUCGCGGCCUAUCAGCUUGUUGGUGGGGUAGUGGCCUACCAAGGCGGCGACGGGUAGCCGGCCUGAGAGGGUGACCGGCCGCAUUGGGACUGAGAGACGGCCCAGACUCCUACGGGAGGCAGCAGUGGGGAAUAUUGCACAAUGGGCGCAAGCCGGAUGCAGCAACGCCGCGGGCGGGAGGACGGCCUUCGGGUUGUAAACCGCUUUCAGCAGGGACGAAGCUUUUUGUGACGGUACCUGCAGAAGAAGCACCGGCUAACUACGUG
RNAcentral lists this ribosomal RNA (465 nucleotides) under uncultured bacterium. Its description in RNAcentral is "partial 16S ribosomal RNA". It matches the Rfam family "Bacterial small subunit ribosomal RNA", at positions 28 to 507 of the family's 1533-position model. The record is from RNAcentral.